RNAcentral lists this long non-coding RNA (460 nucleotides) under Prunus persica (peach). Its description in RNAcentral is "long non-coding RNA (PPER_LNC000103)". The record is from RNAcentral. Lineage: Eukaryota; Viridiplantae; Streptophyta; Magnoliopsida; Rosales; Rosaceae.
GGACUAUCUCCUGAGUUAAACAAUUUAAAUCAGAUUAAGAGUUUACAGCGACCUACUGAUGUCCCAGACAGUGGUUUGCUAUGUGAUCUCCUGUGGUCUGAUCCUAGCAAAGACAUUCAAGGUUGGGGACCAAAUGAGCGGGGAGUUUCCUUUACCUUUGGUGCUGAUAGGGUGACCGAGUUUCUUCGGAAGCAUGAUCUAGAUUUAAUUUGCCGAGCUCACCAGGUCUUAUAUAUCUUUUAAUUUGAGAAUUUGCCAAAAUCACACAACCUAGAGUGUCUUCCACUGACUGGAUAUCAUUUAAUUUUCAGGUUGUCGAAGAUGGAUAUGAGUUCUUUGCCAACAGACAACUUGUGACAAUAUUUUCAGCACCUAAUUACUGUGGUGAGUUUGACAAUGCUGGGGCAAUGAUGAGCGUGGAUGAGUCUCUUAUGUGCUCUUUCCAGAUAUUGAAACCUGC